AACGAACGCUGGCGGCGUGCCUAAUACAUGCAAGUCGAGCGGACAGAAGGGAGCUUGCUCCCGGAUGUUAGCGGCGGACGGGUGAGUAACACGUGGGUAACCUGCCUGUAAGACUGGGAUAACUCCGGGAAACCGGAGCUAAUACCGGAUAGUUCCUUGAACCGCAUGGUUCAAGGAUGAAAGACGGUUUCGGCUGUCACUUACAGAUGGACCCGCGGCGCAUUAGCUAGUUGGUGGGGUAAUGGCUCACCAAGGCGACGAUGCGUAGCCGACGUGAGAGGGUGAUCGGCCACACUGGGACUGAGACACGGCCCAGACUCCUACGGGGGGCAGCGGUAGGGAAGCUUCCGCAAUGGACGAAAGUCUGACGGGGCAACGCCGCGUGAGUGAUGAAGGUUUUCGGAUCGUAAAGCUCUGUUGUUAGGGAAGAACAAGUGCGAGAGUAACUGCUCGCACCUUGACGGUACCUAACCAGAAAGCCACGGCUAGCUACGUGCCAGCAGCCGCCGCCG
Molecule: ribosomal RNA, 512 nt
Filed under: uncultured bacterium
Lineage: Bacteria
Description: partial 16S ribosomal RNA
Rfam family: Bacterial small subunit ribosomal RNA
Source: RNAcentral